This 3262-nucleotide long non-coding RNA is filed under the name Sus scrofa (pig). RNAcentral describes it as "lncRNA (ENSSSCG00065042585.1)". The record is from RNAcentral. Lineage: Eukaryota; Metazoa; Chordata; Mammalia; Artiodactyla; Suidae.
GGGCCUGGUGGCUCUGCAGUUCCCAGGGGUACACAGUCUCUCAGUCGUAGCUGUUGUGAGUCUGGAAUUAUUCUCUCUUCAAUGCCACAGUGUCACGUGUUCUUAAAAUUUUGCAUCUUCUCUCUCCCCAUCCAGUCCCAAGAAUUCUGCCUGUAGGUAGUUUUUUUUCUUCUCCCGCUCCAGCAUUUUAUUAUGAAAAUUUGCAAACAUAACGAAAAAAAUGGAAAGAAUUGUACAGUGAACACCCACGGCCUCGGCACCUAUGUUCUGUAAUUUGCAUUUCACUGUACUGGUUUUAGCAUAAGUUUGUUCCUAUCUCCACCUCUGCCAGUAUCCAUCCAUCCAUCCACCCUGUCUUCUUCUAGUGGAUUUCCAAGUAAUUUGCAGAGAGAAAUACACUCCAUCUCUCAUAGUUUCGCCUGCGUAUCAUUAACUAGAGUGUAGGAUUUAUUUACCCCUCUUUUGGGCUAACACUUAGACACAGGGAUGUUUCUAAGCCCUAAGUGUACUUUCAGUGGGUUCCUAUAUAUGUCUCUAGGGCCCCAAUUCCAUCAAGAUAGAGGACAUAUCCAGGAAGUUUCCUCAUGCCCGCCUUUCAGGAAAUCCUCAGCCCAGCCCACCCCUGCACAACCACUCUUCUGAUUUCAUCACCGUAGAUUAGCUUGGGCUUGUUCUGGAACUUUCCAUACACUCUGUGCUCUUUGACAUAAGCCUCCUUCAGCGAGCGGCAUGCUAUUUUUGAGAUUCACUCAUGUUUUUCUGUGUAAAUACAUCCUUGACUGUACAGACACACACAUACACACACUCACCCACCCAUGUAGGCAGACAUCUAUACACAUAACAUACACAUAAGACAAACUUCUCACGUAAAUGUUGGUAGGUUGGGUGUAUUUCUCUCCAGGAAGUGCCUUAUAGAUUUUGGACCCUUUUCUUAGCUACAUCCUUUAGGUCAGCUUUCAAAGAGAUCUUUGUGAUGUCUGGCAGAUUAUUAAGAGCUUUGGUUGGCCAGGGAAGGUUAGUUUUGGAAAGGUCCCCUCCCAUAUCCCUCCAGAGUGGAACCGUGAGCUGGACUCCGCAACCUUGAGGUGGUGCGAAGGGAAGGAGAGGGCAGGGGAAGGGAGAAGAGAGCCAUGCGGGUACCAAAAACUGUCUGAUUUAUGGUGUCAACAGCCACACGUGUUCUGCAGUGGAAGUUGUUUCCAGGGGCCCGUGUGACGUUCUUCCCCUUUGGAGCUGGACACACUCCUUGUCACAAAUAGCAUCAGAGAGAGACAGGCUAGGGGUUUAAUCAGCCUAUGCCAGAGCCACAGCAACACGGGAUCUGAGCCGUGUCUGUGACCUACACCACAGCCCACGGCAACACUGGAUCCUUAACCCACUGUGCAAGGCCAGGGAUCGAACCCACAACCCCAUGGUUCCUAGUUGGAUUUGUUUCUGCUGCUCCACAACAGGAACUCCUUACUAGCCAAAUAUUAUGCAGUAUUUUUCUCCACUCAUGAAUUUUUUGGAUCUGUGUACAUGUGCUAGUUCAUUCAUUUGAAGUGCUGUCUUGUCUUCCAUCAGCUGACUCUCACCCUUGCCAUUUAUUUUUCCACUCCCCAGUAACACAUAUAAUACAAGUGCAUUGUCUUCAGUUCCCCGCUCUGGGUAAUUAAUAGUCUCCUUACCUAAGUGUUCAGACAAGGAACCUUAGAGCCCGCUGUUAAAUGACCCAGCUAAGGUGUCACAGUUUUCACAGGCAGUGGAACCAGAGAAUGAGCCAAAACGGACCAUAUCUUCCCUCCCAGGCAAUCGUCUUUCUCACUGCUCCACAGUUAUCUCCUUUCAGGAAAAGGAGAUGAUAAAUUUGCAGGAAGUGUUAGAGAGUUUUAUCUUUAAAAAGCUCCAGGGAGAAAACGAUCUUGUUUUGAGAGCAGUGUGAAGGUUUGAUGCCAGAUGGGGUCUCCCCAUGUGUUUCGAGGGCAGAGAACAGACCCGUGUGUGGCGGGAGGGUCACCCCCGACUUGGGGUCUUGUCUGUUGCCUUCCUGGGUGGCUUCCUGGGCAGAGACAGUGAGUGUGACAACCACCUUGAAGCUGGCCUUCUUUUCACAAGGGCAGCCAGACACUCAGGGGACUUUAUCUCCCAGCAUAGAGAGUUCCUGGGGGAACGGGACCACUUCUGUCCUUGGGGGGGAGGGGUGUCCGCGGGGGGUGGUCCCCGCAUCCUUUUUUUCCCAUUUCCACUGAAUAUAGUGUCACUGGAGAGCAGGAUUUGAAACCAGUUAACCUCAAAAGAGGCCAGUCAUAUCUGUCCCCAUUUCUCUUUGAAAAAUGAUGAAUGCUAAACAGUCCUCGAGGUUUACAGAUCUACCAAAAGACGGUCAAGGUUCUGAAACAAUGAGGACAUUCUUUUCCACGCUGAGGAUGGCACCAGGGCCUUGACGCCACCUGGCUCGGUCACUGGCUUCGGAGAGGGCCUGGGGCUGUUUUCGCAACUUCCCAGAGUUUCAGUUUCCUUGUCUUUCAAAGCAGAUGCUGUUGACAGUCACUUGUACCAUCAGACCAAGACUGACCAAUUGUGAGCCUCAGGGCACCCCCCCUCGCAGGAGCCCUUCCAGGACCUCCUAUCUCAUUUUUAUUCGUAAUUUGAUAGGCGUUUUUAUAAAGUGCAUCCCCCAAGUUGUGUAAGCUGUGGCCCCACAAGCCAUGGGUGGGCCUCCUGGCUCAUAAGGUGGUUGUAAAGAUACCUGUUGCAUAGUUAGCGCGUGGUACUUGUGAGCUCAUUAGGAUGAUUAUUUAAUGAAUAGCAUGUGCCUUGAGUGUCACCCCAUGCCUGGAACCGCAUGGGGGCUCAAUUAGUGGCAGCCUCGGUUCUUCUGUUCUCAAGUUGUGCGGUGUUCCGGUUUCCCAGAGUCUCCAUCUUCAAGGAAAAUGUGAGAAGGACCCAAGAUACCUGCCCCUUUCUCCCGCUGCUACCAUAAAUUCUGUGUAUAAUAGAUGAAAAUCCUUUAAUUCCUUAAGAGUUUCCUGCCUCUUCUGUCUUUUCUCCAUCAUCUGGCUCACCUGGUCCAGUCGACCCUGUGCUCCAGGGGAGGCCAGCAGUCAGCCAGGUGGGGACACCACGAGGCUGCAUGUCAUCUUCUCCUGUGCUUUCUUCUCAUCCCAAAAGAUUGUGAAGGAGUUCCCUGGUGGUGUAUACCAGGUUAAGGAUCCAGCAUUGUCAUUGGAAACUUCAGCAUGCUGCCGGUUCGGCCAAAAAAAAAAAAAAAAAAAAAAAAAAA